RNAcentral lists this ribosomal RNA (141 nucleotides) under Bacillota bacterium. Its description in RNAcentral is "partial 23S ribosomal RNA". It matches the Rfam family "Bacterial large subunit ribosomal RNA", at positions 2783 to 2925 of the family's 2925-position model. The record is from RNAcentral. Lineage: Bacteria; Bacillati; Bacillota.
AAGCGUGAAGCCCCCCUCAAGACGAGAUUUCCCAUUCGAAAGAAGUAAGAUUCCUUGUAGACGACGAGGUUGAUAGGUCGAAGGUGUAAGCACGGUAACGUGUUCAGCUGAUCGAUACUAAUAAAUCGAGGGCUUGUCCAA